GCCGCUGCGGAUCGACGCUCACCCAUCAUGUAUCUGCAGGUGCUGCUUUUUGCCGUCGUGGGCCAGCUGUCGUCUGCUUCAUCGGAUGGCCUACCGACUACAGUCACCGAAGAUUCUGGCGUGUGCUCGGGUACACCUUUGAGCAGCUUUUCCGCGCACCACAGCCCGUUUUUUCGGGUUUCGGAUGGUUUGCCGCCAAAUCUGGACUUUACGGUGUUCGCCAUCCGGCAACAUGGUGCAACGUCGGCUGACCCACCCCUUCAAAAGCGCGUCGGCUGCAUCGACACUUCGGGCCACGGCACUGCCGCUGCGGAUCGACGCUCACCCAUCAUGUAUCUGCAGGUGCUGCUUUUUGCCGUCGUGGGCCAGCUGUCGUCUGCUUCAUCGGAUGGCCUACCGACUACAGUCACCGAAGAUUCUGGCGUGUGCUCGGGUACACCUUUGAGCAGCUUUUCCGCGCACCACAGCCCGUUUUUUUCGGGUUUCGGAUGGUUUGCCGCCAAAUCUGGACUUUACGGUGUUCGCCAUCCGGCAACAUGGUGCAACGUCGGCUGACCCACCCCUUCAAAAGCGCGUCGGCUGCAUCGACACUUCGGGCCACGGCACUGCCGCUGCGGAUCGACGCUCACCCAUCAUGUAUCUGCAGGUGAACAUAUAGCCAUACAAUCAAGAAAGUCUCAAACUGCCACAGUCGUAAGCCGAGAUGGGUCGGAGCUUUUCUACGUUUCCAGCAAAUGCAAAGUAUUUGAUGAGGACGACAUGCACAGGUUAUGACGCGUGGUUCGAUCUUCUCUGCGACUGUCGAGGAUGGGCGAGUAAGCGACGCUGCUUAAGGAUAAUCAAGAAAGGUGUUGUGUAUACACCAAGUCUGCGCCAUGAACAUGAUGCACGUGAUGACCACCUCCAAUCCUGCAUCAUCUAGCGUUUCUACAAAGUUCAGACGCGCCAAGGCUGACGACAAGCUGUACCCUAUUUUCACGAGACUUCCACUGCGGCGAACCUAAGCUCACGAGCUGUGUCGCGAACGACCUCUUGGGACAAGGCCAAAAACAAGACAAACGCUGUAUAGGCCAGGCCAAGUGCACGACUGCAAAAUAACAAUGUUCACGUUGUGUAGCGUCUCCGGCUGUAAGGCACACGGCGACGCUAGCCGCCAGCACUAUAAGUCGUACUCAUUGUUCCCAGCAAGCGUUUCUGUAUUGAUCAUGAUCGACUGCUGCGCUGGUGGCACGAGUUGCGUGUAGUGCGCCUGUUGAAGGUUAACAAAGCGAGAUAAUCAUUAUCCUAUAAGUUUAGCAUCAGCGCUGAGCUUUGAAAACGUGGAGCACGGCUGAACUUGUAACAGGUAUACUUUAAGAAGAAAAGCAGUUUUUCACUGCCGGACACAGAUUAUUCAUCCCGUGAUACUUUAGAACUUAUGGUUUCUAUUCACACUCUUUAUUUACAAACACCGCCGCUGUCCAGAAGAAAAUGGAAUGGGUAUGUCAUACUCUGCUUAAGGACCAUCUCGCAUGAUUAUUUCGGUCAACAUUUUCUCUUAAGCGGAACACUCCUGGGCUCGCGUUCGCGUGUUUCAAAGCAGCGCUGACAUUCUGACGCAGCAUAGUUGUUUCUUCGAAUCUCGCCCACAAAACGACCGCACGCACUUUGUGACGAGUGACUCACGUGGUCGCCAUCGCCCACAUUCAUUCGCUCAUAAGCUGCAGCCAUCCAAGGCAACAAAACAAUCACGCACGAUGCAUCGUAACACACGAAGGGACCCAGCUUUGACGCAGGUCAUUGUUUUUAGGCUAAUUCACAUUUAUUCAUUCACUUUGAAAUUUCGUAACCCUUGUUGCGGAGUGUCGGUCAUUUAUAUUCGCAACUGUCUCCAGUUUGAAAGAGAGCUCACAGCAAACGGUGGUAGCAGCUGCCUUGAAUGACGACAGAUUGUAUGUGUACAUAAACUGAAAAUCAAAAAACUCUGUUUAAUAAAUUAUUUUACAAGAA
Molecule: long non-coding RNA, 1989 nt
Organism: Rhipicephalus microplus (southern cattle tick)
Lineage: Eukaryota; Metazoa; Arthropoda; Arachnida; Ixodida; Ixodidae
Source: RefSeq, a predicted model, not a curated record